Cercocebus atys (sooty mangabey) is the source of this 80-nucleotide microRNA precursor. The record is from Ensembl. Lineage: Eukaryota; Metazoa; Chordata; Mammalia; Primates; Cercopithecidae.
GACUCUGUUCUCACUGUUCACCCAGCACUAGCAGUACCAGACGGUUCUGUGGAGUCCUGGGGAAUGGAGAGAGCACAGUC